AUGGUGGAGAUGCAGCCUUUUGUAGAAAUUAGAGACGGAUUAGGAUUGGAGGACAGGAUCGCUGAACAUGGAGAUGUUGUCCAUCAGCAGCCAGCGCAAGAGGCAAUGGUUGUUGCAAGUGGGGCUGCAGGCAUGGGCACUGUGAAUGAUGAUGCUACUUCUGCAAAUGAUAGUGGGAAUAGACUCAACGGACUGUUGGCACCAAAGAAGCGCAAAGAAAUUGGGCGGCCAUCAACUAGCAGGGAGAAGGCACCGUACGAGGGGCUGAGCAAACGAACCAGGUUCUGCACCAUAUUUCGCGGGCAAGGGUACAAGAGGACAACCUGCCCUGAUCGAGGUGAUGCCCCGAAACCUGUUUGCAAACCGGCUAGGUGCAAAAAUUGUGGAAUUGAAGAUCACAAGCAGAACAACUGCCACAAAGUGGGUGAUUUCUGGUUGACUGGCAUGUGA
This 450-nucleotide ribosomal RNA is filed under the name Triticum aestivum (bread wheat). RNAcentral describes it as "partial small subunit ribosomal RNA". The record is from RNAcentral. Lineage: Eukaryota; Viridiplantae; Streptophyta; Magnoliopsida; Poales; Poaceae.